RNAcentral lists this long non-coding RNA (1810 nucleotides) under Parus major (Great Tit). RNAcentral describes it as "lncRNA (ENSPMJG00000017844.1)". The record is from RNAcentral. Lineage: Eukaryota; Metazoa; Chordata; Aves; Passeriformes; Paridae.
AUGGGCCUGAGCGCGGCCCCAGCCCCGGCAGCCCCAGCCCCACGUUCCGGUCCCCCCGCGGGCCUUGCUCUCCACUCCCUCUCCUCCCGCGGGCCCGGGCCCCAGCCCCGCUCCCGAGCGGGUUCCAGCGGGGCAGCCGCGCUCUCCUCCAGCGCCGGGGGCCACAGCCGGGGCCGCAAAGCUCCGUCAGCCCCCGCCACCAGACCGGGCCAGAGCACAGGCGCCCCCCGCCCUCUCCCAGCCGCUUCUACCCGCAGUACCCCCCGUACUCACCGCCUCCGAGGGGGCCCCCGCAGCGGCCCCCAGCAAGGCCCAGCCUAUAUGCGGCGCCUGGCAGGGCACGGGGGAAGAGAACCCCACCGGCACCGCCCCGCCGCGGAAACUCCGGCCCGGCUCGCCCGGUUGCCCCCGGGCCGGGCGCAGGCGGCGCCUGACGGGGCGGGCUCAGCGCCGCCCUUUUCCGGGCCCGCGAGCGCCCUCGCGCGGCCUGAGGGGCUCCGCGGGCCGGGCCUCGGCUCCGCCGGGCGGGCGCUCCGCCUCUCCGAGCGCUGCGCUGCGGGGGAGGGCAGCCCUGCCGUCAGCGGGACAUUGGGAGGGGGGACAACAUGACCGGUGAAGGACUUUGGUCGCUCGAAAGCACUGGGGAAGACCAAGAGGAAGAAAAAAUAAGGCCAUAAAUUUCCACUGGAGGGGUUUAAGACGGUAUCUCUGCAUGUCGAAAUCUGAAAAUCUUCCACAGCACCUACCAGAAUGCUGGCCAAAAGCUCAAAAUGUCCCAGCAGAGUCACGGUCUGGCAUUUCCUAUGAACAAAUAGCAGAUAAGAGAUUUUAAAAAGCCCCGUUUUGUAAUGACAAAUUGGUAGAAGGGUGUUUACACAACUGAGAACUGAAGAGUAAAAAUAAGGAAGUGUAACAGCAUUAUGACACUAGUGGGUAAUUUUCUGUAUCAGAGUUCCAGUAAGAUGAGUUUCUUGCAAGAGACUCAUUCAUAUCUUUUCUAAACUUUAAAAUUUCCUGCCAUAUGUGAUGACAUUUGUUAUAUAUAACAAUGGUAUUAAAUUUGAACUGUGACAGCAGCAUCUAGUACAGCACAACUUCUACUGUAACAUUACUUAACAUCAUAUGAUAGAGAAACAUUUGCAUUGCAGCAGUUGCAGAAAAGAAAGUUAAAAACUUCAUUUUAAAGUUUCAAAUGGUUGUCAGAUCCCUGAUACAUUAUUUUAAGGAAGCUGCUGACACGGGGGAGAGAAGGUUAAAAAAUGAAUCCAGCUCUCCAAAUACCUUAUUGUGAGCAGUGCUGAGUGCUGUGGUUUUGUUUGACAUAGGGAACUGUUCAGUCUCACGCAAAGAACUGAGCUCUGUAUUUAUGUGUGGCUUUAAUUGCAAGCGCUUAAAGAUUUACCUUGACUAGUUAUCUCCAGUUUCGGGACUUCAAGCAGGACUCUCCAGGUGAAGUUACAGAUCUGAAGUCAUAUAUAUGAAGUUAAUAUAUCUAUUAUAACAGGUUCUUGACGUUUUACUGUACAUUCUCCCAAAACUAGUUAACCCAGUGCUCCUCCUUAACUCUCCUCCCUCCCUCUCUCCCUCCCUUCCUCCCUUAUGCUACUCCACACCCAGCUACUAUCUGCACUUGCCCUCUGUACCCUUGGCCUCCUGCUAAUCUGGCUAUAUAAACUCCUAUUUCCUCCCCUCCCAGGCCUCAAAGCAAGCAGUUUCAGGUUCUCCCUUUGUGCUUGGCAGCCUCAUGUCGCAAUGGAGGAAGGGAGGGGGAGAAAAUAAAAAGCAGGCUAAAAUGGUUGUGAUAGGAGAA